Molecule: non-coding RNA, 353 nt
Organism: Coffea arabica (coffee)
Lineage: Eukaryota; Viridiplantae; Streptophyta; Magnoliopsida; Gentianales; Rubiaceae
Source: RefSeq, a predicted model, not a curated record
AGGAAAAAGGAGAGGAAAGCCUUCAAUUUUUCAUCUUGAUUCUUGGUUGCUUUGGAGAGAAAUCAACCUAAAACCCUAAAUCAAUCCAUAGAAAGGUGCAACAAGGUGACAAGGAAGCUUGAGGUGGAGUGAUUUUGGAUUGGCAACCUUUGUUUUUUGCAUUUUCCUAUAAGGGUUUGAAGAUUUUGACUCUGGCCAGAGGGUUGGACCUGAGCUUGAUUUUGAUAAGCAGUGAAUCAUUGGGGGUGUGAGCAUGGGCAUGAGGCAGGGACUGACUGAUUUUGUCUAGACCUUUUUGACCAUUGUAUUUGUAACAGCAUUAGUGCUCAAUUAGGGUUAGGAGUUCAACUAGA